Rhizobium sp. Root708 is the source of this 96-nucleotide non-coding RNA. Lineage: Bacteria; Pseudomonadati; Pseudomonadota; Alphaproteobacteria; Hyphomicrobiales; Rhizobiaceae. The record is from Rfam.
ACAUCGCAAUCUGGUGGUGGGCUCGCUAAGGCGGCCUCGACCAAUCGUGUCCAAAGACGACGAUGAGCCGCCCGGAAAAACCCAGGCGGCUUUUUU